GUGGCUCAGUGGUAGAGCACUUGCCUGGCAUGUGUGAGGCCCUGGGUUUGAUUCUCAGC
This 59-nucleotide transfer RNA is filed under the name Ictidomys tridecemlineatus (thirteen-lined ground squirrel). RNAcentral describes it as "Spermophilus tridecemlineatus (thirteen-lined ground squirrel) tRNA". It matches the Rfam family "tRNA", at positions 7 to 64 of the family's 71-position model. Rfam says of the family: Transfer RNA (tRNA) molecules are approximately 80 nucleotides in length. Their secondary structure includes four short double-helical elements and three loops (D, anti-codon, and T loops). Lineage: Eukaryota; Metazoa; Chordata; Mammalia; Rodentia; Sciuridae. The record is from Rfam by way of RNAcentral.